RNAcentral lists this transfer RNA (73 nucleotides) under Patescibacteria group bacterium. Its description in RNAcentral is "tRNA-Thr". It matches the Rfam family "tRNA". Rfam says of the family: Transfer RNA (tRNA) molecules are approximately 80 nucleotides in length. Their secondary structure includes four short double-helical elements and three loops (D, anti-codon, and T loops). The record is from RNAcentral.
GCCAACGUAGCUCAGUCGGCAGAGCAACUCCAUGGUAAGGAGUAGGUUGUCGGUUCGAUUCCGACCGUUGGCU